AAUGAACGCUGGCGGCGUGCCUAAUACAUGCAAGUCGAGCGAACGGACGAGAAGCUUGCUUCUCUUAUGUUAGCGGCGGACGGGUGAGUAACACGUGGAUAACCUACCUAUAAGACUGGGAUAACUUCGGGAAACCGGAGCUAAUACCGGAUAAUAUUUUGAACCGCAUGGUUCAAAAGUGAAAGACGGUCUUGCUGUCACUUAUAGAUGGAUCCGCGCUGCAUUAGCUAGUUGGUAAGGUAACGGCUUACCAAGGCAACGAUGCAUAGCCGACCUGAGAGGGUGAUCGGCCACACUGGAACUGAGACACGGUCCAGACUCCUACGGGAGGCAGCAGUAGGGAAUCUUCCGCAAUGGGCGAAAGCCUGACGGAGCAACGCCGCGUGAGUGAUGAAGGUCUUCGGAUCGUAAAACUCUGUUAUUAGGGAAGAACAUAUGUGUAAGUAACUGUGCACAUCUUGACGGUACCUAAUCAGAAAGCCACGGCUAACUACGUG
This 497-nucleotide ribosomal RNA is filed under the name uncultured bacterium. RNAcentral's name for it is "partial 16S ribosomal RNA". It matches the Rfam family "Bacterial small subunit ribosomal RNA", at positions 29 to 507 of the family's 1533-position model. The record is from RNAcentral.